Molecule: non-coding RNA, 181 nt
Filed under: Candidatus Hydrogenedentota bacterium
Lineage: Bacteria; Pseudomonadati; Candidatus Hydrogenedentota
Description: 6S RNA
Rfam family: 6S / SsrS RNA
About the family: E. coli 6S RNA was the first non coding RNA to be sequenced, but its function was unknown until recently. It consists of 184 nucleotides that fold into an extended hairpin structure with a large single-stranded internal bulge.
Source: RNAcentral
UUUUCCCUGCCGUGCGCGCCGGGUAAUGCGCCUGUCCUUUCCGCGUGAUACGGGAGUUCAAUAUCUGCGCGGCCUACGGCAUGCCUCCCUCGAGUGGACGUCGGACGGCCGCCGUGAGAACACCCACCUGCUGAGGAUGAGGUUCACGCGCCAACUUUCGGCCCGCACGCGCAGGGUUCUU